Molecule: transfer RNA, 72 nt
Filed under: Stegodyphus mimosarum
Lineage: Eukaryota; Metazoa; Arthropoda; Arachnida; Araneae; Eresidae
Rfam family: tRNA
About the family: Transfer RNA (tRNA) molecules are approximately 80 nucleotides in length. Their secondary structure includes four short double-helical elements and three loops (D, anti-codon, and T loops).
Source: Rfam by way of RNAcentral
UCCUAUGUGGUCUAGUGGCUAGGAUUUCUACCCUUCACUUAGGCGGCCUGGGUUCGAUUCUCGGCAUGGGAA